GGGACAAUCUGCUAAAUACAAAUAAAACAAAAAAACAUAGCGUAUAACCGUGUGGAGACUGGUAUUGAUGUGCGAUCACAAAUGGUCACUCACAAUUUUGAAGGUUAUCUUAAAGAGGGAUUAAUCCCUAGAGGAUUAAGAGUGGAAAAAAUUCCAGCAUGUGGUGUAGAUAAUGAAGAAUUCCUAAAAAAAUGGGAUUCAAUUCUAGACACAUGUUGGCAAAACCUUAUGAAAUUAAUAAUUGAAUUUGAAAAACAAGAAAGAGAACAAAUAGAGAUAGACA
Non-coding RNA from Pelobates cultripes (western spadefoot toad), 283 nucleotides. The record is from the annotation of a GenBank genome assembly. Lineage: Eukaryota; Metazoa; Chordata; Amphibia; Anura; Pelobatidae.